GUGGGGAAUCUUGCGCAAUGGGCGAAAGCCUGACGCAGCCAUGCCGCGUGAAUGAUGAAGGUCUUAGGAUUGUAAAAUUCUUUCACCGGGGACGAUAAUGACGGUACCCGGAGAAGAAGCCCCGGCUAACUUCGUGCCAGCAGCCGCGGUAAUACGAAGGGGGCUAGCGUUGCUCGGAAUUACUGGGCGUAAAGGGCGCGUAGGCGGACAGUUUAGUCAGAGGUGAAAGCCCAGGGCACAACCUUGGAAUUGCCUUUGAUACUGGCUGUCUUGAGUACGGGAGAGGUGAGUGGAACUCCGAGUGUAGAGGUGAAAUUCGUAGAUAUUCGGAAGAACACCAGUGGCGAAGGCGACUCACUGGCCCGUUACUGACGCUGAGGCGCGAAAGCGUGGGGAGCAAACAGGAUUAGAUACCCUAGUAGUCC
RNAcentral lists this ribosomal RNA (425 nucleotides) under uncultured bacterium. RNAcentral describes it as "partial 16S ribosomal RNA". It matches the Rfam family "Bacterial small subunit ribosomal RNA", at positions 354 to 796 of the family's 1533-position model. The record is from RNAcentral.